Molecule: non-coding RNA, 110 nt
Organism: Coniella lustricola
Lineage: Eukaryota; Fungi; Ascomycota; Sordariomycetes; Diaporthales; Schizoparmaceae
Source: the annotation of a GenBank genome assembly
GGGCGCAUGGUUUAGUGGUAUAACACUCCCUUAGCAGCACUACGCAAUUAACGUUCUGAUCCCAAGAACCGUGAUGGGAGAGGUCUAGGGUUCGAUUCCCUAUGUGUCCA